RNAcentral lists this ribosomal RNA (504 nucleotides) under Aspergillus flavus. RNAcentral describes it as "eukaryotic LSU rRNA". The stretch from base 140 to 293 matches the Rfam family "5.8S ribosomal RNA". Lineage: Eukaryota; Fungi; Ascomycota; Eurotiomycetes; Eurotiales; Aspergillaceae. The record is from RNAcentral.
UACUGUACCUUAGUUGCUUCGGCGGGCCCGCCAUUCAUGGCCGCCGGGGGCUCUCAGCCCCGGGCCCGCGCCCGCCGGAGACACCACGAACUCUGUCUGAUCUAGUGAAGUCUGAGUUGAUUGUAUCGCAAUCAGUUAAAACUUUCAACAAUGGAUCUCUUGGUUCCGGCAUCGAUGAAGAACGCAGCGAAAUGCGAUAACUAGUGUGAAUUGCAGAAUUCCGUGAAUCAUCGAGUCUUUGAACGCACAUUGCGCCCCCUGGUAUUCCGGGGGGCAUGCCUGUCCGAGCGUCAUUGCUGCCCAUCAAGCACGGCUUGUGUGUUGGGUCGUCGUCCCCUCUCCGGGGGGGACGGGCCCCAAAGGCAGCGGCGGCACCGCGUCCGAUCCUCGAGCGUAUGGGGCUUUGUCACCCGCUCUGUAGGCCCGGCCGGCGCUUGCCGAACGCAAAUCAAUCUUUUUCCAGGUUGACCUCGGAUCAGGUAGGGAUACCCGCUGAACUUAAGC